CCAAAGUAUGCACUUAACUGUUUGUGAGCCCACCCAAAGAGAGAGUUCCUGUCUUCAACAGUGCCCAAUCUCAAGAUAGACCUUAAUUGACCAGGUGAGGCCAGACAUCAAGACUGGCUGGGAAUUUUAAGAGGGGUGGUUCUACAGGAAGAAGGGCACUCCUACCAGAAGAGGAGGAAGAGAUUCUGAGCAAACCCAGGAAGCAAUUGAAAGAUUCUUCAGCAUCAGGGAUCUUGGAAGAAGAGACAAGGAAAACCAUCUCUUAAAAAUUCCUCUCUAAAGCGGCAUACAGAGGGAAUCCAUUUUGACAGGUGAGUGGUCACAGUCAAAGUCUUUAAUAAGUAGUCAUGUAAAUUAUCUUGUGAGAUA
Molecule: long non-coding RNA, 369 nt
Filed under: Callithrix jacchus (white-tufted-ear marmoset)
Lineage: Eukaryota; Metazoa; Chordata; Mammalia; Primates; Cebidae
Description: lncRNA (ENSCJAG00000086868.1)
Source: RNAcentral